RNAcentral lists this ribosomal RNA (375 nucleotides) under uncultured organism. RNAcentral's name for it is "bacterial SSU rRNA". It matches the Rfam family "Archaeal small subunit ribosomal RNA", at positions 476 to 851 of the family's 1478-position model. The record is from RNAcentral.
CCAGCACCCCGAGUGGUCGGGACGAUUAUUGGGCCUAAAGCAUCCGUAGCCGGUUUUACAAGUCCUCCGUUAAAUCCAGCUGCUUAACAGAUGGGCUGCGGAGGAUACUAUAAGACUAGGAGGCAGGAGAGGCAAGCGGUACUCAGUGGGUAGGGGUAAAAUCCGUUGAUCCAUUGAAGACCACCAGUGGCGAAGGCGGCUUGCCAGAAUGCGCUCGACGGUGAGGGAUGAAAGUUGGGGGAGCAAACCGGAUUAGAUACCCGGGUAGUCCCAGCUGUAAACGAUGCAGACUCGGUGAUGGACUAGCUUUAUGCUAGUCCAGUGCCGCAGGGAAGCCGUUAAGUCUGCCGCCUGGGUAGUACGGUCGCAAGACUG